GGGCAAUCGCCUGUUCCAGGAGCGGGCAACAACAUAGGGUUUCCUACAAAAUAUUUGUAGGAAACUAUGGGCAACACGCGGCAGGCCCUCCCUGAAACGCUGCUUCCUGCAGCUGACGGCAGGCGGCGAUACAAGUUUAUGUUUGCGCCGUCACAGCAGCAGCUCGCAUCCCCAUAAGCGCAGGGCGCUCGUGCCAAGCGGUCUCAACAUUCGUAGCCUGCAGGAAGGGGCCAACAGCAGCACAAAAAUAUUUCUCAGUCUGAUGAUAUGACAGCAUAGUGAAAAAUUCAAUCAAACAAGCAUCACUAGGCUACAGCCUCAGUGUUCCAGUGUCAGUGCUCCAGUUUCAGAAGUGGUGUUACCUUGGUGAAGUGCCGG
Long non-coding RNA from Dermacentor andersoni, 378 nucleotides. RefSeq lists it as uncharacterized. NCBI's taxonomy places the organism in Eukaryota, Metazoa, Arthropoda, Arachnida, Ixodida, Ixodidae. The record is from RefSeq and is a predicted model, not a curated record.